Molecule: ribosomal RNA, 253 nt
Filed under: uncultured bacterium
Lineage: Bacteria
Description: partial 16S ribosomal RNA
Rfam family: Bacterial small subunit ribosomal RNA
Source: RNAcentral
UACGUAGGGUGCGAGCGUUAAUCGGAAUUACUGGGCGUAAAGCGUGCGCAGGCGGUUCUUCAAGUCCGUUGUGAAAGCCCCGGGCUCAACCUGGGAAUGGCAGUGGAAACUAGGGGACUGGAAUCUGGCAGAGGGGAGUGGAAUGCCGCGUGUAGCAGUGAAAUGCGUAGAGAUGCGGAGGAACACCGAUGGCGAAGGCAGCCCCCUGGGCUGAGAUUGACGCUCAGGCACGAAAGCGUGGGGAGCAAACAGG